GUAAUUAACAUUUCGAUUAACAGAGAAAUAAACUAUUUGACACUAAUAAUGAAGAAAGUCUUCAAAGGCGAUUAAACUGCAUGCGAUAGUAAGUCUUGGUAGUAAAUGUUCAUUUACACACAACUCGCUAACUCCCUGGACCCCCCAAAGAACCACUUUCAACGCUAGCAAUUUAACAUCAGUAUUUCCCUACGAGUAGUCGAGAGAACUGUGGUGGCAGAGGAUGAUUUGAAGCAGGGAAAGUUGGCAUUUAUGUUUAAAUCCGAUUGAGAUAGAUGGUAGCUUGCGCCAGAGAAAAACAUGUUGACAUUGAAAGGGUUUGCAAAACAAUUGCCGAUAAAAUGAUGCCAAUUUGAGAGUUUAUGUAUCGAAAAGUUUUACUCCGUUCUUACUUAUCUUUAAGUUCUAGUUUAGAGACCUCUUGAAGCAACAUAAACGGCGAGAUCGACAAGUCUGUUUGAGUAACCAGAUUCGUUAUCAUACCAUGAAAUGAGUUUAACAAAUGAAUCAUUGAGUGCAAUGCAUGCAUUCUUGUCGAAGAUAGAAGAAUACUUGCAACCAAUGAAAUCGGUCGAGACGACAUCAUCGCUUGUGUAGCCCAUAAUUCCCUUCAUUGGACCAUUGGAUGCUUCCUUAACGGCUUGAUAGAUUUCCUCUAUAGAGGCUGGUUUUGCAAGCUUGCAUGUUAAAUCAACAACGGAAACAUCUGGAGUUGGGACACGGAUGGCCAUACCUGUGAGCUUUCCAUUCAAAGCUGGGAUGACCUUACCUACGGCCUUAGCUGCUCCAGUACUUGCUGGAAUAAUGUUGUUCCCAGCGCAUCUUCCUGCUCUCCAGUCCUUGCCACCCUUGCUUGGACCAUCAACAGUUAAUUGGUUAGCAGUAAGAGAGUGAACAGUUGUCAUCAAACCUUCAACAAUUCCAAACUUGUCAUUAAUAAUCUUAGCCAAAGGAGCAAGACAGUUUGUUGUGCAAGAAGCGUUAGAGAUAACGUUGAAUUUUGAUGGGUCAUAUUCAGUGUUAUUUACUCCCAUGACAUACAUUGGGACAUUGUCCUUUGGUGGAGCAGAGAUAAUGACCUUCUUGGCACCGCCUUUAAGAUGCAAUGAAGCCUUCUCCUCUGUUGUGAAUACACCAGUUGACUCGCAUACAAUUUGAGCACCUGAAGCACCCCAUGGGAUUUCUGCUGGGUCCUUAGCUUGGAAUACCUUUACUACCUUACCGUUGAUGCAUAAAUCCUUGCCUGAUACCUCAACUGUACCAUUGAAGUUACCAUGAACUGAAUCAUACUUCAAGAGGUAAGCCAUAUAUUCAACGUCCAUGAAUGGAUCAUUUAUUGCUACUACUGUAAUGUCAUUUCUUUCCAUACAGGCUCUCAAAACUAAACGACCAAUACGUCCGAAACCGUUAAUUCCCAAAGUUGCAGUCAUCUUUAAGUUAUAUAU
Molecule: non-coding RNA, 1445 nt
Filed under: Cryptosporidium parvum
Lineage: Eukaryota; Apicomplexa; Conoidasida; Eucoccidiorida; Cryptosporidiidae
Source: RNAcentral